This 426-nucleotide ribosomal RNA is filed under the name uncultured bacterium. Its description in RNAcentral is "bacterial SSU rRNA". It matches the Rfam family "Bacterial small subunit ribosomal RNA", at positions 356 to 773 of the family's 1533-position model. The record is from RNAcentral.
GGGGAAUUGUUCGCAAUGGGCGCAAGCCUGACGACGCAACGCCGCGUGGAGGACGAAGAUCUUCGGGUCGUAAACUCCUGUCGAGUGGGAAGAAUGCUUCGGGGGUGAAUAACCUCCGGAAUUGACGGUACCACUAAAGGAAGCACCGGCUAACUCCGUGCCAGCAGCCGCGGUAAUACGGAGGGUGCAAGCGUUAUCCGGAUUCACUGGGUUUAAAGGGUGCGUAGGUGGAUCUGUAAGUCAGUGGUGAAAUCUCCAAGCUUAACUUGGAAACUGCCGUUGAUACUAUAGAUCUUGAAUGCUGUGGAGGUGAGCGGAAUAUGUCAUGUAGCGGUGAAAUGCUUAGAUAUGACAUAGAACACCAAUUGCGAAGGCAGCUCACUACCCAGAUAUUGACACUGAGGCACGAAAGCGUGGGGAUCAAAC